GGCGGCCUUAGCGCGGUGGUCCCACCUGACCCCAUGCCGAACUCAGAAGUGAAACGCCGUAGCGCCGAUGGUAGUGUGGGGUCUCCCCAUGCGAGAGUAGGGAACUGCCAGGA
RNAcentral lists this ribosomal RNA (113 nucleotides) under Escherichia coli 2-177-06_S1_C1. The record is from RNAcentral. Lineage: Bacteria; Pseudomonadati; Pseudomonadota; Gammaproteobacteria; Enterobacterales; Enterobacteriaceae.